Molecule: non-coding RNA, 23 nt
Filed under: Arabidopsis thaliana (thale cress)
Lineage: Eukaryota; Viridiplantae; Streptophyta; Magnoliopsida; Brassicales; Brassicaceae
Source: RNAcentral
GAAUUGCCGUGAUCGAUGAAUGC